UGAACGCUGGCGGCAGGCCUAACACAUGCAAGUCGAGCGGUAACAGAUCUAGCUUGCUGGAUGCUGACGAGCGGCGGACGGGUGAGUAAUGCAUAGGAAUCUGCCCGAUAGUGGGGGAUAACCUGGGGAAACCCAGGCUAAUACCGCAUACGUCCUACGGGAGAAAGCAGGGGACCUUCGGGCCUUGCGCUAUCAGAUGAGCCUAGGUCGGAUUAGCUAGUUGGUGAGGUAACGGCUCACCAAGGCCACGAUCCGUAGCUGGUCUGAGAGGAUGAUCAGCCACAUCGGGACUGAGACACGGCCCGAACUCCUACGGGAGGCAGCAGUGGGGAAUAUUGGACAAUGGGGGCAACCCUGAUCCAGCCAUGCCGCGUGUGUGAAGAAGGCCCUCGGGUUGUAAAGCACUUUCAGCGAGGAAGAACGCCUAGCGGUUAAUACCCAUUAGGAAAGACAUCACUCGCAGAAGAAGCACCGGCUAACUCC
Molecule: ribosomal RNA, 483 nt
Filed under: uncultured bacterium
Lineage: Bacteria
Description: bacterial SSU rRNA
Rfam family: Bacterial small subunit ribosomal RNA
Source: RNAcentral